AUUUAAAUAGUUUAAAUAAAAUAUUGAUUUGUGGGGUCAAAGAUAUAAUGUAUAUUUUAAAUA
RNAcentral lists this transfer RNA (63 nucleotides) under Phyllotreta striolata. RNAcentral describes it as "tRNA-His". The record is from RNAcentral. Lineage: Eukaryota; Metazoa; Arthropoda; Insecta; Coleoptera; Chrysomelidae.